This 723-nucleotide long non-coding RNA is filed under the name Mytilus galloprovincialis (Mediterranean mussel). Lineage: Eukaryota; Metazoa; Mollusca; Bivalvia; Mytilida; Mytilidae. The record is from RNAcentral.
GAAAUCUAUGAAAUUUUAACACAAGGUUUAUGACCACAAAAGGAAGGUUGGGAUUGAUUUUGGGAGUUUUAGUCCCAACAUUUUAGGAAUUAGGGGUCAAAAAGGGCCCAAAUAAGCAUUUUCUUGGUUUUCGCACUAUAACUUUAGUUUAAGUAAAUAGAAAUCUAUGAAAUUUUGACAUAAGGUUUAUGACCACAAAAGAAAGGUUGGGAUUGAUUUUGGGAGUUUUGGUUCAAACAGUUUAGGAAUUAGGGGCCAAAAAAGGGCCCAAAUAAGCAUUAUUCUUGGUUUUCGCACAAUAACUUUAGUUUAAGUAAAUAGAAAUCAAUGAAAUUUAAACACAAUGUUUAUGACCACAAAAGGAAGGUUGGUAUUGAUUUUGGAGUUUAGGUCCCAACAGUUUAGGAAUUAGGGGCCAAAAAAGGGACCCAAAUAAGCAUUUUUUUUGGUUUUCGCACCAUAACUUUAGUAUAAGUAAAUAAAAUCUAUGAAAUUUAAACACAAGGUUUAUGACCAUAAAAGGAAGGUUGGUAUUGAUUUUGGGAGUUUUGGUCCCAACAGUUUAGGAAUAAAGGGCCCAAAGGGUCCAGAUUUAAACUUUGUUUGAUUUUAUCAAAAAUUGAAUAAUUGGGGUUCUUUGAUAUGCCGAAUCUAACUGUGUAUGUAGAUUCUUAAUUUUUUGUCCCGUUUUCAAAUUGGUCUACAUUAAGGUCCAAAGGGUCC